AGCGCUUUUCAGGGCCCUCAAAGCGCUAUACAAUGCCACUAUUCAUUCACUCUCACAUUCACACACUGGUGGAGGCAAGCUACAGUUGUAGCCAUAGCUGCCCUGGUGCAGACUGACAGAAGCGAGGCUGCCAUAUCGCACCAUCGGCCCUUCUGGCCAACACCAGUAGGCGGUAGGUGAAGUGUCUUGCCCAAGGACACAACAACCAAGACAGACAGAGCUGGGGAUCGAACGGGCAACCUUCCGGUUACAAGAUGAUUUGAAAAUGUCCUUUUUACCCAUUCCAGAUUGAUUAAAUUCAUUUCAGUUUUAUUCAUAUACUGGUAAAUCACAACAAUAGUCAUCUUAAAGCACUUUGUAUUAUAAGGUAAAGACCUUAGAAUAAUACAGACAAAACCCCAACAAUCAGAUAAUCCCCUAUGAGGAAGCACUUGGUGACAGUGGGAGGAAAAACCAUACUUUCUAACAGGAAGAAACCUCCAGCAUAACCAGGCUUAGAUAAUUUGGGAGAAAUAUGGUUUAUUUCUAGUCCCUGUCAUCACUGCAACAUGCUGGAUCAAGUGAAGGCUUUUUAGGAAGUUGGUCAAAAAUGACUCCAAGAUUUCUCACAGCGUUACUGGUGGUCAAGGUAAUGCCAUCCAGAGUAAGUAUGUGGUUUGUCGCCAAGUUUUUAAAAGAUUUUUAAGGCUGAGAACAAUAACUUCAGUUUAUGUGACUUUAGAAGUAAGGAAUUAAAGGUCCUCCAGGCUUUAAGACGGGGGUCUCAAACUCACGGCCAGGGGACCACCUGCGACUCACAUCGCCCCUACGUGCGGCCCAUAUAUUGACGUGAAGAAAUAUAAUGCAGUUUGGCACUUGAGGAUUUGUUUGUUGUUGUUGCAAAAGUAGAAAUUGAGUCUAAUAGACAUAUUGCUUGCUUAAGUAAUAACAAAGUGGUUUAUUGCUUUGAGGACCUUUUUGUGUUGAUUAAGAAGUAACAUAUUAGCAAUAAAGUAUUAUACAGAUAAGACUGUCUUCAGCUUUUCCAACACAUAUUGGUGAGAUUCACUAUGAAAAUGUUGAAGUGAAGUAUGAAGUGGAAAAUGCAAUGCUGGUAGUGGGGUUAAGGUUAAGGGGAUGAGGUCUGACUGAACUAGACAUCUAAUACAAAAUACAAUCUAAUACAAGGAGGGUAAAACAUUUUUAAAACUUUAUAGUCCUACAUUCUUAAAUUCGUAAUUGGUAUUUUCAUGUUUCCUGUUCAACAACCAGGAUAAUCAGUCAGAAAAAAUGGGCUACUAUCCAUUGAUGACAGAACAUAGAUGGCCUGAAAAGCUUCAGGUUUGCUUUACUCUAGGUGUUUAUAAGAAAUUUGAUUGAUUGUUUUGAUUCACUUGUAUCUCUGAAAUAGAGAGUCCAUUGAGCCUCCAAAUCUUGUUCUUAAAGGUGAAUUAUCAUUAUUAUUAUUAAAGUUGAAUAUUUCAGUUUCUCAUUGAAAUAUUCACUAUUAAUUUUUUUAGUAUAGUGUUAAAUUGAACUGAAACGAUUUUGUAAACUUGGAAAACUAACUAAAAUUAAAUAAUAAUAGAGGAAAUAUCCCUAGCUUUAAUAUGCAUUACUUUGGUAAAAAUUGCAUUACACGUUCCUGUUGAGACAUUGAUGGAUGUGCUUAUUGGGACUUUAGAUGUUUACAAAAGGGUGAGUCAACUGCUUUUGAAAACGCCUGUGUUUUUAUUGUAAUACCUGUACUAAUUUUUGUAAAUCUUGCCUCUAACGUAUGCCCUCCAUAUUAUAGUAAUUAAAAAAAGACUAAACGCUGAAAAAACUGAACUGAAAAACUAUACAAUUAAAAAGUAAAUACUCUGGGAAAUAAGCCUGAAAGCCUAAGAGUGAUGUGCUCUAUCAGGAUAACGUGGUACUGUCAGUCUUAAGAGAUGAUAGGCUCUGAUCAGUUAGGACUUGAGUGUACGAGAGAAGGAUUUCACAUUAAAUUCUGGAUUUAACAGGAAGCCAAUGAAGUGUGACCAGAGGGAGUCCCAUUCCUACUGCGGUACUUUGUACCAGGAAACUAGGACAACCUGAUAAUACAGAAUUGUAACAGUCCAGCCUAGAGGUAAGAAAUGUAUGAACUAAUGUGUAGCGUCGUUCUGAGAGAAAAGGUUUCUCAUUUUUGAUAAUAUUACACGAAAAAGAGAACAUAGUCCUAGAGAUUAAACAUUUUUAAAGUUUCGAAUAAUACAGCUAGAAGGAAAAGAAAAUUAGAAAUUCAGAAAAAUAAUACACCACAGUUUUAUGCUGGGCAGAGAUGGCAAAUUUGAACAGUGUUCAAUUAAAGAAACAAAAAAAAAGCAGAUGAAUACAGAUAUGUAGAAAUGAAGGGAAAAGACAGACAGACAGAGGUUCUACAAAAGACUACACGAACAAAGAAAUGUGACAGAAAUGUCAUACUUUCAUCAUAAUUUCCACCAUUUGCGAUUUGACUGGCAUUUAUAUAAUUAUACCGUCACAUUGUGCCCUUUUCUUCUGUAAUGUCACGUGAGACUAGAGAGAUGGCUUCAACACUAUCUCAUCGCACCAAGUUUCUAAGAUAAGUCUAACAGUAGUUUGGAAUAUGUAUUAAAAAUGUAAAAAGUUAAAUGGAAACUUUGCUGUUGGGUUUGAGGUAAAUAAAGGCUGGUUCAUAUUCUCUUCUUCACA
Molecule: long non-coding RNA, 2676 nt
Organism: Astatotilapia calliptera (eastern happy)
Lineage: Eukaryota; Metazoa; Chordata; Actinopteri; Cichliformes; Cichlidae
Source: Ensembl